GACCUCAAUGGUGAGUAAAUUACAAAAAAACAAAUCUAAUAUUUGAGAAAUGGCGAUCUUCGGCAAUGGUCGAAGUGGGUCCAAUAUGAGCUGUCCGUAGGUGGUGUCGAUGAUGAGAUUUUUCUUUCUCUUCUCUUUCUCUUCUCUUCUCUUUCUUGCCUCUUCUCUUCUCUUCUCUUUAUCUGGGGCUAUUUUCGACCCUUUGGGUAUUGUUUACAUUUUCAAUUUUUUUUAAUGAGAUUUUUUCGGUCAAAAGCCAUUGUGGAGAGAUGGCCGGCCAUCUUCCACUAUUUUCUCACGAGUUAAUUAAAUAGCUGCUCACUAACAUUUAACUUUGGUUACCACUUCCUCACCCAAAAAUAAAAGGUUACUACCUGCUCACUUAAUUUUACAAAAAGUUACCCAUCCAUCACCCGGUUGUGUUCCAUCCGUCUAUGUGGACAAAAAAUUACACGUGUCGGAUGAAAAUCCUAUGUGUCAACUAACUCCGUUAAUUAUUGCCACCUAGACGUUCAACUCACGUUUUCCCUUCAUUUUCCCCUUCCAUUUCUUGUUCCCAAUUCUUGCCCUAACCAUGAACCCAUUUCUUCUCCCCAACAAAUCGAUUUCUAUCAAAUCAAGAAAAAUCUCUGCUUCCAAACCCAUCUUCCCAAGCAAAAAAGUAAUCGAAAUCGCUGGAAAUCGCCCUUAAAUUGAGUCUGCUGUGCUUGGGUAGAACCACCCGUGCAACCACGCUUUCGACGACCCAUAAUUCAUCUAUUCAUUCUGGCCAGCCACUAUGCUCGACAAAUCGUGAGAAGCAUCUCACUCAUCAAGAGCAAGUUCGAUUCCACAAUUUGCUUUUAUGGCCGAAGCUUCUCCCACGUGCAUCUUCUGCCUUUGGUUUGCUGCGUUAUGAAGCUCCAAAUGAGAUGGAUUUUGCAAGUUUUUUUUGUUAAUGGUAUACAAAUAAAGAAUUGGAAACUGUUGGAAAAAUGAAUAGGUUGUUGUGGGUUUUUGAAUAUGUAGUUGGUAUGUUGGUGGUUUUGUAAGUUGUAUAUUGAUGGUGUAGGAAUGUUUGUGGAGUUCUAUUUCAGCUCAAUGGUUGUAAUGGUAGGUGUAUUAGUGUUUAUGGUUGUGAAAUCAUCAUAGGAAACUUGAUGUAUUUUAUAGUUUCAAAUUGAAUGGGUUCCUUUUUUGAAUGUGUAAUUGGUAGGUUGUUGUUGGUGUUUGUAAGUCUUGAUCGUGUAGGAAUGUAGAUGGUGAUGGUAGAUGUUCGACUAUUUGACAUAAUUGUGGAGUCAAUGGUUGUAGUGGUAGGUGUAUGUGUUGUAUUGAUGGUUGUGGAAUCUUCAACGGAAAUCAGAUUUUUUUUUUGCAGUUUUUAAUUGAAUAGGUUUCUUUUGUGUUCA
RNAcentral lists this long non-coding RNA (1391 nucleotides) under Olea europaea subsp. europaea. The record is from RNAcentral. Lineage: Eukaryota; Viridiplantae; Streptophyta; Magnoliopsida; Lamiales; Oleaceae.